GAUGGUGGAUUCUGUCAUGAAACAUUGGCUGCUUGAAACAAAUCUUUCCAAGUUGAACAAAGGAAGAGAGAACAAUUUUCCCAGUGUGUCAGGGAGCCUGGUAAGUUGAACUUAAAUUUCAUUUUUACC
RNAcentral lists this long non-coding RNA (129 nucleotides) under Ictidomys tridecemlineatus (thirteen-lined ground squirrel). RNAcentral's name for it is "lncRNA (ENSSTOG00000031807.1)". The record is from RNAcentral. Lineage: Eukaryota; Metazoa; Chordata; Mammalia; Rodentia; Sciuridae.